This 253-nucleotide ribosomal RNA is filed under the name uncultured bacterium. RNAcentral describes it as "partial 16S ribosomal RNA". It matches the Rfam family "Bacterial small subunit ribosomal RNA", at positions 524 to 776 of the family's 1533-position model. The record is from RNAcentral.
UACGAAGGGGGCUAGCGUUGUUCGGAUUUACUGGGCGUAAAGCGCACGUAGGCGGAUCGUUAAGUCGGGGGUGAAAUCCUGGAGCUCAACUCCAGAACUGCCUUCGAUACUGGCGAUCUUGAGUCCGGAAGAGGUGAGUGGAACUCCUAGUGUAGAGGUGGAAUUCGUAGAUAUUGGGAAGAACACCUGAGGCGAAGGCGGGUUGCUGGGCCGACACUGACGCUGAGGCGCGAAAGCCAGGGGAGCGAACGGG